Molecule: non-coding RNA, 528 nt
Organism: Labrus bergylta (ballan wrasse)
Lineage: Eukaryota; Metazoa; Chordata; Actinopteri; Labriformes; Labridae
Source: RefSeq, a predicted model, not a curated record
UGUUGGGAUAACGUAUGGAGAACCUUUGUGAAUGUUUGCCUGGAAGAAAAAAAAACGUGCUCAAAGAUUCUGUGAAGCACUUUUUAAAACAUGCUCAGUUUUUUUGUUCUGUCACGUUUUAUUAUUUUUUACCGUCUUGGAUUUGAAUCGCAUAAAUUUACAUUAAAUCAAUAUGAUUGAGGCUGUACCAGGUGAGAGCCACAGCUUUCACAGUAUAGUUUUCACAUAAUUUGAUGGGGUUAUAUUUAAGAACAACAUCACCUCUCUAUCUGGCAGUGCUGAGAUUUUCACUGCUCAUUUUCAGAGAGAGAGCUCCACUUUCAGUCGGGAGCACGUUUUAUUGUGACAUGCACAGAGGAGGAAGUAAUGAUGGGGAGGCCUCUGGAGAGCCAUGCGGAGCCGGAGUCAGACCGAGGCUUGCAGCUCCACGUCCCCCGCACUGUCUCAGCAGAAGGGAAGAGAGAGUAAAGAGGACACGUGAAGAUUUGUUAGAGUAAAUGUGAUGAUUACUGAUGAUUUAAGAUCUUA